Molecule: long non-coding RNA, 2006 nt
Organism: Nymphaea colorata (pocket water lily)
Lineage: Eukaryota; Viridiplantae; Streptophyta; Magnoliopsida; Nymphaeales; Nymphaeaceae
Exons: 6
Source: RefSeq, a predicted model, not a curated record
GCCCCUGCCCCCGCCCCUGCCCCCGAGCGUCGUUCGAUUGCGAAGCCUUUUGAGUGCUCCCAAGCAUCCCUCGAGCUCCCCCUUUUUCCUUCUCUCCUUCUCCUCCGUCUCCCCCCUUCUCUAUUCUGAGUCUCCCUUUCCACUGCUCUACGCCUCCCUCUUCUCAAGGUUCCCCAUUCCAUUGACGACGGGUUGUACGAUCACCUCGUUGUUGCAAGGAGCUCCGUCAUUGUGAGGACACGCGACGUCUCCAGGAACCGCUGCAUACUGAAGCCAUUGCAGGACACGCAACGUCCUCUUUGAAUUGGGGUUUCUCUAUUGCAAGUUUGAUCCCCUUGCACAUCUGUCGGCAAAAGCACCCGUUCAGUUUUGUUCUACUCGGUUUCCUUAUGGUUUUCAAGCUUCCUCGUGGGCUUCACCUAUGCCUUCACCAGCGGUUUAUUAUGACGCUUGAAACAAGGUAUGAUAAAGAAUAAAAAAUUUUGUACAUUCGUUGCUAUUAAUAAUUAAUGUAUUCCCUAUGCAGCUUGUUCUCCCCUGCAGUGCGAUCGAGAACACUCCUCAUUCUAUCAACCAUUAGCUUUGUAAUGAUUUUGUAGAGAAAAUUGCCAAGGGCUAUGGGCCGGUACUGUUGAAUCAUAGUGGCACACAAGAAUUUUGGAACUAAAACCAAGAUAGCUCUAUUGAUAUUAAAGACAAUUCACCUUGAUUUAAAAAGUUAUCCACUACCCUGUAGAUGUCGUCAUCCACCACCUAGGAGAAGAAUUGAAAGAAAGCUCUGGAAAAACCAUCUGACCUUGGAGCACUGUCCCUGCAAAAUUAAAAACUGCUUUCCUAACAUAUUGGAUCACUUGUUGUAGAUCAGCCACAACUUCUAGUCCGUUGUAGCUGCUUCUUUCUUCUCUGUUCUGUUAUCUUCUUCACCAUAUGCACUAAGAUGUAUCAUUUCUAGAAUAGAUUUUCAAAAGGUGUCCUUGGGAGUUGGUGGCCUGUGCGCAGUAAACUAAUUAACUCAAUGGCAAAAGGCAAACAGAAAGCCAAUUUCAGUUGCAGUAAUGCAUUCUUUUGAAAAAUGUGAAAAAAAAGGAUCUACAAGUUGUAAUAGCUACUACACUUAUCUUGAUUCUGCAAGACUUUUAUGUUUUUAAACUUUUAAAUGUUGGAAGAUUCUUUUGGUAAAACAAGUUGGCAUAUUCCGUCUUUUGUUUGUGAUUGCUGGAUUAUUCAUCAGGAACAUUAAGAUGAAUCUGGGAACUCCUAACCUGCAGAAAUUGGCAGGUUUCCAGUCAUCAUAAGAAAACUUGAUCAGGUUCACUGCUUUGGUCUGUGGACUAACUUUGUUCUUUUUAGUUGUAAUUGUCUCUCAUAAAGGUUUUAUUUCAGUUAGGAAAGGUUUCUUUUCAACAGUACAAGUUCUACGCUCAUGUUCUUGAUCACUAUUUGCUAUUAACAUUUAUUUCAGGCCAUUACCACUCUUAAGAGACGAGCUUACUUGCUUAAGUAUGGUCGAAGAGGGAAGCCCAAGUUCUGCCCAUUUAGGCUGGCUAGAAGGCCUCAAGUUCUGCAUAUGACAUGAUAUGCAUUAAGACAGUGGUGGAGUCAAAAAUUUCCAGCUGAGGGGUACUCAAGUUUAAAUUUCAAACCUUAAGGAGCAAUCUUAAGUUGUGCAACCUGGAUUUGGUGAGAAAUGCACGCCAAGAGGACAGUGUACAUUCAGAGCUAGGCUGCAAGAUGAUGAAAGCAAACUCCUACCAAUUUUUGUGAAGUUGCAGGCUGAACAAGGAUGGCUGAACAUUGAAAUUUAUAAAGAUUGAUCUUUGUAGACAAGGGCAUUUCUGUAGAAAGGAGGGCUUCAAAUAUUGAAUAAUAUACUAUUUAUACAUUUGCUUGAUAUUGUCAGAAAAAACUACCACCGGAAUCUUAGAUGCACCACUUCUGGUUCAACAUGGCGAACUAGUUUUUGACUUGCUUGUCAACUUUCUUCAUUAAUGAAAAAAUAAGCUGUU